UACGGAGGGGGCUAGCGUUGUUCGGAAUUACUGGGCGUAAAGCGCACGUAGGCGGCUUUGUAAGUCAGGGGUGAAAUCCCGGGGCUCAACCCCGGAACUGCCCUUGAGACUGCAAGGCUCGAAUCCAGGAGAGGUGAGUGGAAUUCCGAGUGUAGAGGUGAAAUUCGUAGAUAUUAGGAAGAACACCAGUGGCGAAGGCGGCUCACUGGUCCGGUACUGACGCUGAGGUGCGAAAGCGUGGGGAGCAAACAGG
This 253-nucleotide ribosomal RNA is filed under the name uncultured Alphaproteobacteria bacterium. RNAcentral's name for it is "partial 16S ribosomal RNA". It matches the Rfam family "Bacterial small subunit ribosomal RNA", at positions 524 to 776 of the family's 1533-position model. Lineage: Bacteria; Pseudomonadati; Pseudomonadota; Alphaproteobacteria. The record is from RNAcentral.